AUUGAACGCUGGCGGCAUGCCUUACACAUGCAAGUCGAACGGCAGCGCGGACUUCGGUCUGGCGGCGAGUGGCGAACGGGUGAGUAAUACAUCGGAACGUACCCUGUUGUGGGGGAUAACUAGUCGAAAGAUUAGCUAAUACCGCAUACGACCUGAGGGUGAAAGUGGGGGACCGGAAACGGCCUCAUGCAGCAGGAGCGGCCGAUGUCUGAUUAGCUAGUUGGUGGGGUAAAGGCCCACCAAGGCGACGAUCAGUAGCUGGUCUGAGAGGACGAUCAGCCACAGUGGGACUGAGACACGGCCCAGACUCCUACGGGAGGCAGCAGUGGGGAAUUUUGGACAAUGGGGGCAACCCUGAUCCAGCAAUGCCGCGUGUGUGAAGAAGGCCUUCGGGUUGUAAAGCACUUUUGUCCGGAAAGAAAUCGCGCUGGUUAAUACCUGGCGUGGAUGACGGUACCGGAAGAAUAAGCACCGGCUAACUACG
RNAcentral lists this ribosomal RNA (484 nucleotides) under uncultured bacterium. RNAcentral's name for it is "partial 16S ribosomal RNA". It matches the Rfam family "Bacterial small subunit ribosomal RNA", at positions 30 to 505 of the family's 1533-position model. The record is from RNAcentral.